Molecule: long non-coding RNA, 2495 nt
Filed under: Homo sapiens (human)
Lineage: Eukaryota; Metazoa; Chordata; Mammalia; Primates; Hominidae
Description: HSALNT0046880
Source: RNAcentral
AAUGGUGACUCACAGAUCUGGGAUCGGGGAAAAGGAAAAAAUUGUGAGAAACUAAACAGACGUCACCUUUUUCAUAUUUUUGAGCUUGACUGGAAUCAAGAUUUCACAUGGCACCUCGAGGACAGGAUUAUUAAUAGCCUUUGUGUCAGCCUGAUGGUAAAGCUUUCUCUUUGAAUCCUUUGUAUAGUUGCUUUUCCUUCAGAAAGACCAUCCCAUUUACUCAUCAUGUGGUGAGUAAGCAUAAGCAAUCAAAAUACAAGUACUAUAAAUAUUGUAAUUAGAGCCUCAUCCUCUCGGUUAGACCCUCCCUAGCAAACACACCUCUCCCUAGCAAACACAUUGUUUAUAUAUUACUUUGAUAUUCAGAAAGAAUUGGAACUGUGUCUGUAACCAGAAUCUCCAAGGAGAACUAAGAUGUACUGAGCACCUAACGUAAUACAUUCCUAGUGUUUUAUAUGUAGGAUUGGUGAUCGCAGAUUUUAAGUUAUGUGCCCAAGGUCACUUGGCUAAGUGACGAAAUGCAGAUUCAAAUCCAAAUCUGAUUAAUUGCAAAAUUCUAUGCCUUUCCCCCAGCAGAGAGUAAAGUCUCUAAAAUAUUUCUUGAGUACCUACUUUAUGUCAGGCACUACCUAUAUAGAUUCAUUUGUUCCUUAAGAUAACCUUGAUAGGUAGUUAUUGUUAUCCUCAAUUUACAAAUGGGGAAACUGGUGUUCAGAGUGUUUAAACAAUUUUUCCAAGAUUACACUAGUGCUGCAAGCUGUACUCAGAUUCAUCUACAGUCAGGUUACACAUAAGGACAUUUGAAUCUAUGGUGGACCACAAAUAUGAUGGUGGUCUUGCAUGAUUAUAAUGAAGCUGUCUUAUGUACCACUUGUUAAUCUUUUAUGCCAUAUUUUUACUGCACCUUUUCUAUGUUUAGAUACACAAAUACUUACCAUUAUGUUACAAUUGCCCACAGUAUUCAGUACAGUAACAUACUAUGCACGCUUGUAGCCUAGGAGCAAUACGCUAUACCAUGUAGCCUAGGUGUGUAGUAGGCUAUACCAUCUAGAUUUAUGUAAGCACACAUUACAAUGUUUGCAUAGUGAUAAAGUCACCUAACAACACAUAACUUGGAACAUAGCCCCGUUGUUAAGCAACUCCUGACUGUAUUUCAAAACUGAGCUUUUCCUACUACACCACUGUAUUAGUUUGCUAGAGUUGCCAUAACAAAAUACCACAGACAGGGUGUUUAAACAAUAGAAAUUAUUUUCACAGUUCUGGAGGCUGGCAGCCCAAGAUCAAGGUGCAGGCAGGUUUAAUUUCUCCCAAGCCCCGCUGCCUUCACUUGCAGGUGGCCACACUCUCACUGCGUCCUCACCUGGCCUUUUCUCUGUGUCCAUGCAUCCCUGGUGUCUCUUCGUGUAUCCAAAUUCUCUCUUCUAAUGAGGACAGCAGUUAGAUUUGAUUUGUGCCCACCAUACAACAACUACCCUACAAAGUCAUGAUACAGAUCUUUUACAGACUUUCUUCAGUUCAGGUUUUUACCUGUUUCAAGGACUGUAAGCUUCUCAAUCUAUAUGUGUGCAUAAUUCCAACAUGUUUUCCACACUACAUGUAAAAGUUUAGAAAUACAUUGCAGAAAAGAUAGGAGGACUAGAAUACUUAGCAGCAGAGUGUACAACUGUGUAGAAAAGGAAUUAAUUACACCCAUCUUUCUUAUGGUUUAUGGUUUAUUGUUCAGGCUUCUGAAGACAAUGUAGAAACACAAGGGCUGAGCCUGGCCCUGUAUUUCAUAAAACUCAGUCAAGCCCCAGGGUUAGGUGGGGGUGAUGCCUUAGGGAUGUUUAUGGUCCCCAGACAUACCACCUCCUCACAUCCUGUGGAGGGAAAUAUGGCUGAAUGAGUCAGCGGCUAAGCUGGGAAUUGCCACAGGACUUCUGGAAUGGUAUGUUCAACAUGGAAAAAUGAGAACAAUCCCCCACGAUCAUUUUCACCCUGAAUCAGUAUUGAUUCUAAAGAUGAUUCAUUCAAGAUAAAGCCAAAUCCUCCACCUACAUAAUUUUUGAGCCAUUAGAAAGAAAGAAAAAAAAAAACCACUUAUAUAUAAAAAUAUAUAUACUUUUAGGGCAUUUCUCUUUUCAUACUUUUGGCAAAUAUAGAAAGAAUGCAAGAACUUUGACUCAAAUGUUGUAGAUAAUAGAAAUGGAUAGAUUAGAUGGAUAGACACAUACAUACACAGACACACACAAAUAUCACAAAACAUGGUAAAAAUCUAGUCAAUAAUCAAGGCAUUCAGAUAGUAUAGACACACAAUUAAGAAAUUUUCUUUGAAAUCUAAACUAUCUACACUGGUGAACUUCAUAAGACAUUUUUUCAUUCUGUUUUCCUUUUUUCAGUGUAGACUUGAUCUAAGCUAUCAAUUACUAACAGCCUUCUAAAAUCAAGAAGAAUGUCAACAAAAUUAUGUAGCUAACAAAAAGAUUAGCGUGUUUUUUGUGUGUUUUUGUCCUAAU